This 229-nucleotide long non-coding RNA is filed under the name Monodelphis domestica (gray short-tailed opossum). RNAcentral describes it as "lncRNA (ENSMODG00000043739.1)". Lineage: Eukaryota; Metazoa; Chordata; Mammalia; Didelphimorphia; Didelphidae. The record is from RNAcentral.
CUCAGUGCUUAGCACAUUGAUAUAUAGUAAGUGUUUAGUAAAUGCUUAUUGACUAAUGACUGAAAAUCUGAAAGGAUUUUAGGAACCCCUAAGGAUAUUGGGCCACUCUGACGAAUAUUCACAGGGAAAUCUGAUGCAGAAACUUCUUCUGCCAAUGCAGAUGAUGAAACCGAGGCUCAAAGAAGCUAAGGUGUGAAUUAGAUUGGAUAAUCUCUGGGAACCCUUUCGA